AUUGCUCCCUCUCCACAUGUGCGUGGACAUCAAAGGUGGGGACCAUAGGUCGCUCUACUCAGCUGGUGCGUCUGGGGCAGAAUUGGUCUCAAAUACCAAGCCAGCACUGGGUCUCGGCUAGGGAGGGAGCCAGAUGAAAGGGAGAGCAGGGGGAGGGAGGGGAGAGCAGAGGAGGAAACAAGGGUGCAUCAAAGGGCCCUUCCUCCUGCUUUGCCAGGUUUGCUGUCCAUGUGCAAGGCCCGGGGUGGGAUGGGGGUCUUCAAAGAGGAGCCUUCGAAGAGCUCAGCCAUCCUCUCCCGGACGCCAGCGCGUUCCCGAGCAGAGACCCAGGGCUUCCGAUGGGAAUCGGAAAACAAUAGAAAAUCUGCCACGGGAUGCCGGGAAACAGGUGACCCGCCAGCUCUGCUGACCCUUCUCAGACUUGAUGCCAUUUCUCUUCACCUCCGACCUGCGAGGUGGCAUCGUGGUCCCCAUUUCCGGAAGACGGAAUCAGUAGUGACCUGUUGAGAGCCACUCAGUAGAGCGGCCUCCCCACUGUCCAUGAGGGUGCAUGCGACUCCGGGAGGUUUAGCCCCACCACGUGGGACUUGGGAUGGAGGCUGUCCUAUUAGGACACGUGUUCAUCUCCGAAGCCAGCAGAGCCCUAAAACCAAAAUACAUCUUCUCAGAGUUCGAGAGGCUCGACUUCCAAGAUCAAGGUGUCCGCGGGGCUGUGCUUUCUCUGGGCGGCACCACCGCGAUGAAGAAAGGACCCUGGCUCAGGGUCAGAGGUGCUGAUUCCGAGUCUACAUGAGCUGCACGACUGAAGUUACCUCUCCGGGCUUCUACUUGCUCCCUGCCAGACGGGAAGGCAAUCCUCGGCGGCGACAGCAGCCGCUACGAGCUCCUUGGCUCAUCCAGCGAUUGCCCUGAGCCGGAGCCCGCAUCCUGAUCCUGCGCCGUGCGUUUGAGGCACCAUCUCUUACAACUCGCUGGCCACAUGUGGGGAAAGCAAAGUCGGUGGCCAGCAGGGAACGGAAGGCAGUCUGUCCACUUCUCGCUGUCAGACUGUCCCCUUCAUGACCCAGGAGCCCGACAGGAGGCCCUUGUGAGAAAUUUCUAUUAGGCCUCCGUAAAAGCUCUCCUCUGGAGGGAGUGGAUGGCUUCCAAUAACCACUCGCCCGGCACCCUCAGCUUCCAGGCACAGAUCAUAAAGAUGUCUCCCUGCCCUCUAGAGACCGAAGGCUGGAGUCUGCAGGAACAUUCUGUGGGGAUUCAGAUCUCCUAGGAAUAUUCCACAAACAAAGCUAUCAAAUAAACAGGUAUCAUUUGUUGGUUGUGAUGCUUGUAAGGGGUACACUUGAAACACGGUGAGUGUCAGUGUCCUUAGA
This is a long non-coding RNA of Herpailurus yagouaroundi (jaguarundi), 1370 nucleotides long. RefSeq lists it as uncharacterized. The transcript has 3 exons. NCBI's taxonomy places the organism in Eukaryota, Metazoa, Chordata, Mammalia, Carnivora, Felidae. The record is from RefSeq and is a predicted model, not a curated record.